CAGCCGCCGGGUAAUACGUAGGGUGCGAGCGUUAAUCGGAAUUACUGGGCGUAAAGCGUGCGCAGGCGGUUUUGUAAGACAGGCGUGAAAUCCCCGGGCUCAACCUGGGAAUGGCGCUUGUGACUGCAAAGCUAGAGUGCGGCAGAGGGGGAUGGAAUUCCGCGUGUAGCAGUGAAAUGCGUAGAUAUGCGGAGGAACACCGAUGGCGAAGGCAAUCCCCUGGGCCUGCACUGACGCUCAUGCACGAAAGCGUGGGGAGCAAACAGGAUUAGAUACCCCUGUAGUCCCUGUCUCUUAUACC
Molecule: ribosomal RNA, 301 nt
Filed under: uncultured bacterium
Lineage: Bacteria
Description: partial 16S ribosomal RNA
Rfam family: Bacterial small subunit ribosomal RNA
Source: RNAcentral